AUCAUUAAGCGGAGGAAAAGAAACUAACAAGGAUUGCCUUAGUAGCGGCGAGCGAAGCGGCAACAGCCCAGACUGGGAAUCGCUCUAUGAGCGAGUUGUACAGUGAAGACAUCCAUCUUACGUGAUGCGAUUGGAGUAAGUCUGCUUAAAUUCAGCGCCAUAGAGGGUGCGAGCCCCGUUCCUCCAGUUGCUGACCGACAGAGGGUGUUCGUCGAGUCGGGUAGCUUGGGAUUGCUGCCCUAAGUGGGAGGUAGACUCCUUCUAAGGCUAAAUAGCGACAAGAGACCGAUAGCGAACAAGUACUGUGAAGGAAAGAUGAAAAGCACUUUGAAAAGAGAGUUAAAAGACUUGAAACCGCUGAGGAGGAAGCAGUGAGCAGGGAUGAGCGGGUUUCCGCGAGGCAGGCCCGGGGUUCAAACGCAGGUGCGUGUAUGCUGUUAGCAUUGCGGCCUUGCGCUUGGAUCCCGCCCCUGUGCCCCUGCCCACUGGCCCGUCUUGAAACACGGACCAAGGAGUCUAACAUGCGUGCGAGUAGGAGGGUGUUAAACCCCACUGCGCAACGUAAGUGAACCUUGUCAAACUUGCAACAGGGGCCGCGACGAGCGAGCUCAGCAGGCAUGUUGGGACCCGAAAGAUGGUGAACUAUGCUUGGGGAAGGCGAAGCCAGGGGAAACUCUGGUGGAGGCUUGUAGGGAUACUGACGUGCAAAUCGUUCUCCUCACCUGAGUAUAGGGGCGAAAGACUAAUCGAACCAUCUAGUAGCUGGUUCCCUCCGAAAUUUCCCUUAGGAUAGCUGGAACAAAGCAGUUUUAUCGGGUAAAGCGAAUGAUUAGAGGUUAGGGGGUUGAAACAACCUUCACCUAUUCUCAAACUUUAAAUUGGUAAGCCUGAAGUUGCUUAAGUGAACUUCGGGAUGAAUGCAUGUUCCAAGUGGGCCAUUUUUGGUAAGCAGAACUGGCAAUGAGGGAUCAACCUAACGUGGGGUUAAGGCGACAGAUUGACUGCUCAUCAGAUGAAAAGGUGUUAGUUCAUUUAGACAGUAGGACGGUGGCCAUGGAAGUCGGAACCCGCUAAGGAGUGUGUAACAACUCACCUACCGAAUGAACUAGCCCUGAAAAUGGAUGUCGCUAAGCAGUCAGCCGAUACCCCGCUGUCACCCUAGACUGGGUGACAAGUAGGAGGGCGUGAGGGCCGCUUUGAAGCUUACGCGUGAGCGUGAGUGGAGCGCCUCUUAGUGCAGAUCUUGGUGGUAGUAGCAAAUAUUCAAAUGGGAACUUUGAAGACUGAAGUGGAGAAGGGUUUCAUGAGAACACUAUUUGGUCAUGAGUGACUCGGUCCUAAGGCCAGGGGUACGCCCGUGACGACGCAUGUCCAGGCCGAAAGGGAAUGUGGUUAAAAUUCCACAAGCAGGCGGUGGGUAUUAUGUGGCAACACAACUGAACUCAAAGACGUCGGGGCGAGGUCCCAGGGAGAGUUCUCUUUUCUUCUUAACAGUUCGCUGCCCUGGAGGUCUUUGCGACGAGAGAGGGCUACCGAGCUGGAAGAGCAGCACACCCUUCGUGCUGUCUGGUGCACCUCCUUCGGCCCUUGAAAAUUUGAGGGAACUCUUAUCACACGCCUGGCCGUACCCAUAACCGC
Molecule: ribosomal RNA, 1638 nt
Filed under: Gruberia foissneri
Lineage: Eukaryota; Ciliophora; Heterotrichea; Heterotrichida; Spirostomidae
Description: partial large subunit ribosomal RNA
Rfam family: Eukaryotic large subunit ribosomal RNA
Source: RNAcentral